CGAACUUGGAGAUAGCUGGUUCUCUCCGAAAUAGCUUUAGGGCUAGCGUCGAUGUUAAGUCUCUUGGAGGUAGAGCACUGUUUGGGUGAGGGGUCCAUCCCGGAUUACCAAUCUCAGAUAAACUCCGAAUGCCAAUGAGAUAUAAUCGGCAGUCAGACUGCGAGUGCUAAGAUCCGUAGUCGAAAGGGAAACAGCCCAGACCACCAGCUAAGGUCCCAAAAUAUAUGUUAAGUGGAAAAGGAUGUGGGGUUGCACAGACAACUAGGAUGUUAGCUUAGAAGCAGCUAUUCAUUCAAAGAGUGCGUAAUAGCUCACUAGUCGAGUGACCCUGCGCCGAAAAUGUACCGGGGCUAAAACAUAUUACCGAAGCUGUGGAUACCUUUAUAGGUAUGGUAGGAGAGCGUUCUAUGUGCGAAGAAGGUGUACCGUGAGGAGUGCUGGAGCGCAUAGAAGUGAGAAUGCCGGUAUGAGUAGCGAAAGACAGGUGAGAAUCCUGUCCACCGUAAGACUAAGGUUUCCAGGGGAAGGCUCGUCCGCCCUGGGUUAGUCGGGACCUAAGGAGAGACCGAAAGGUGUAUCCGAUGGACAACAGGUUGAUAUUCCUGUACUAGAGCCGAGAAAAGCUUCUAGCGUUAAUUAUACUCUACCCGUACCGCAAACCGACACAGGUAGUCGAGGCGAGUAGCCUCAGGUGAGCGAGAGAACUCUCGUUAAGGAACUCGGCAAAAUGGCCCCGUAACUUCGGGAGAAGGGGCGCUGACUGAUGGUCAGCCGCAGUGAAUAGGCCCAAGCAACUGUUUAUCAAAAACACAGCUCUCUGCUAAAUCGUAAGAUGAUGUAUAGGGGGUGACGCCUGCCCGGUGCUGGAAGGUUAAGAGGAGUGCUUAGCGUAAGCGAAGGCAUGAAUUGAAGCCCCAGUAAACGGCGGCCGUAACUAUAACGGUCCUAAGGUAGCGAAAUUCCUUGUCGGGUAAGUUCCGACCCGCACGAAAGGCGUAAUGAUUUGGGCACUGUCUCAACGAGAGACUCGGUGAAAUUUUAGUACCUGUGAAGAUGCAGGUUACCCGCGACAGGACGGAAAGACCCCAUGGAGCUUUACUGCAGUUUGAUAUUGAGUAUCUGUACCACAUGUACAGGAUAGGUAGGAGCCUAUGACCUCGGGACGCCAGUUUCGAGUGAGGCGUUGUUGGGAUACUACCCUUGUGUUAUGGCUACUCUAACCCAGAUAGGUUAUCCCUAUCGGAGACAGUGUCUGACGGGCAGUUUGACUGGGGCGGUCGCCUCCUAAAAGGUAACGGAGGCGCCCAAAGGUUCCCUCAGAAUGGUUGGAAAUCAUUCGCAGAGUGUAAAGGUAUAAGGGAGCUUGACUGCGAGAGCUACAACUCGAGCAGGGACGAAAGUCGGGCUUAGUGAUCCGGUGGUUCCGUAUGGAAGGGCCAUCGCUCAACGGAUAAAAGCUACCCUGGGGAUAACAGGCUUAUC
This 1482-nucleotide ribosomal RNA is filed under the name human gut metagenome. Its description in RNAcentral is "bacterial LSU rRNA". It matches the Rfam family "Bacterial large subunit ribosomal RNA", at positions 834 to 2487 of the family's 2925-position model. The record is from RNAcentral.